GCUUCAGCAGCACAUAUACUAAAAUUGGAACGAUACAGAGAAGACUAGCAUGGCCCCUGCGCAAGGAUGACACUCAAAUUCGUGAAGCGUUCCAUAUUUUUUUAGCUCUUUCAGUAUU
Molecule: long non-coding RNA, 118 nt
Organism: Strigops habroptila (Kakapo)
Lineage: Eukaryota; Metazoa; Chordata; Aves; Psittaciformes; Psittacidae
Exons: 3
Source: RefSeq, a predicted model, not a curated record